RNAcentral lists this small RNA (271 nucleotides) under Mus caroli (Ryukyu mouse). RNAcentral's name for it is "sRNA (MGP_CAROLIEiJ_G0008747.1)". The record is from RNAcentral. Lineage: Eukaryota; Metazoa; Chordata; Mammalia; Rodentia; Muridae.
GUGUAGAAUGGCGAUCUGCUUGCAACAUCUGUCAUCCAUCUUGUCUGGCUACAACAUCUGCCACCCUGGGGAAGCCCUGGUUGAUUGGCCUGUCUGCUCCUUUCCUCCUUUACUGCAUCCCUCCCCAAGCUGAGCCCUUGAUGACCUUGUCUGGUAGAGGACUGUCCUUUGGUCAAGGUGUAUGGGUAACUGCCCUCCCCUGCUGCAGCUUCUACAUAAAUUCCUUUAGGAUAGAGGUGGGUAAAACAUUAGGAAGAGUUGCUCUUCACUG